RNAcentral lists this ribosomal RNA (540 nucleotides) under uncultured Campylobacterota bacterium. RNAcentral describes it as "bacterial SSU rRNA". It matches the Rfam family "Bacterial small subunit ribosomal RNA", at positions 952 to 1498 of the family's 1533-position model. Lineage: Bacteria; Pseudomonadati; Campylobacterota. The record is from RNAcentral.
CGAAGAUACGCGAAGAACCUUACCUAGCCUUGACAUAUAUUAGAACUCAGUAGAGAUACAGAGGUGCCUUCGGGAGCUUUUAUACAGGUGCUGCACGGCUGUCGUCAGCUCGUGUCGUGAAAUGUUGGGUUAAGUCCCGCAACGAGCGCAACCCUCGUCACUAGUUACUAACGGUUCGGCCGAGGACUCUAGUGAGACUGCCUUCGUAAGGAGGAGGAAGGUGAGGACGACGUCAAGUCAUCAUGGCCCUUACGGCUAGGGCAACACACGUGCUACAAUGGCCAGGACAGUGAGACGCGAUACCGCGAGGUGGAGCAAAUCUAUAAACCUGGUCUCAGUUCGGAUUGUAGUCUGCAACUCGACUACAUGAAGCUGGAAUCACUAGUAAUCGUAGAUCAGCUAUGCUACGGUGAAUACGUUCCCGGGUCUUGUACUCACCGCCCGUCACACCAUGGGAGUUGAUUUCACCCGAAGCGGGGAAGCUAAACUGGCUACCCUCCACGGUGGAAUCAGCGACUGGGGUGAAGUCGUAACAAGGUA